This 253-nucleotide ribosomal RNA is filed under the name uncultured bacterium. RNAcentral's name for it is "partial 16S ribosomal RNA". It matches the Rfam family "Bacterial small subunit ribosomal RNA", at positions 524 to 776 of the family's 1533-position model. The record is from RNAcentral.
UACGGGGGGGGCAAGCGUUGUUCGGAAUUACUGGGCGUAAAGGGUUUGUAGGUGGCCCGCUAAGUCACACGUGAAAUCCCUCAGCUUAACUGGGGAACUGCGUGUGAGACUGGCAGGCUCGAGGGCAGGAGAGGAACGCGGAAUUCCAGGUGUAGCGGUGAAAUGCGUAGAUAUCGGGAGGAACACCAGUGGCGAAGGCGGGCAUCUGGGCCAACACUGACGCUGAGGCGCGAAAGCUAGGGGAGCAAACAGG